CCUUAAAUGUGGCUCAUGUAUGUGCGCGAAGCGCGGCGAUUUAGGUUGAAGUGGAUUUUGGAUUGAAGUGGGGUUCGAUAAAAAUUACUUUUUUUCGCUAUUUGUUUCUUAGUUAUGGAAGUGAGGUUUUAUUUAUUCUGUUGUUUGUUUGGUAGAAAGUGUAGGAUGUAAAACUAAAUUUAUAUAUAAAUAAUAAAUAUUUAAAUAAAUAAAAAUAAUAUAAUUAUAUUUUUUAUAUAAUUAAAAUUUAAUUUAAAAUAACUAAAUCAUUUUUUACACAUAAAUUAUAGCAAUACAACAAUAAAAUUAUAAAAUAAAAAUAUUAAUAUUUAAUUAAUUAAUUUUUAUCGUGUUUUACUUGUAUAAACUAAAUAAAAAAAAUGUUAAAACUUAACUAAUUAAUUUUUAUCAUAUUUUAAAUAUGUCAACGGAAUAAAAGAGCAAUUAGUAACAUAAUUAAAUAUAUUUAAAUAUAACUAUCCUUAUCUAGUAGAUUAUUUUAUUUUUUUUUUUUACCUCUCUUCACUGUAAUUGACUUCGGCCCACGAUAAACAGAAGUCAAUUACGUCGUUUGAGGUUAACUCAAGUUUCAAUCGUAACUUUUUUUACAGUGAACUAAACAACGAAAGUGAUCGUUUAGAACGAAAAUGACUUCCCUCCUCUCCACUUCCACCCCACUUCUACCCAAACAAACAUGCCG
Molecule: long non-coding RNA, 700 nt
Filed under: Ananas comosus (pineapple)
Lineage: Eukaryota; Viridiplantae; Streptophyta; Magnoliopsida; Poales; Bromeliaceae
Description: long non-coding RNA (ACOM_LNC004412)
Source: RNAcentral